Molecule: transfer RNA, 73 nt
Filed under: Trichonephila clavata
Lineage: Eukaryota; Metazoa; Arthropoda; Arachnida; Araneae; Nephilidae
Rfam family: tRNA
About the family: Transfer RNA (tRNA) molecules are approximately 80 nucleotides in length. Their secondary structure includes four short double-helical elements and three loops (D, anti-codon, and T loops).
Source: Rfam by way of RNAcentral
UGUCCUGUAGAGCAGUGGAUAGCGCAUUGAACUUCUAAUCCAAAGGUCGUGGGUUUGAAUCCCACCUGGAUGG